RNAcentral lists this ribosomal RNA (808 nucleotides) under Trichopodiella faurei. RNAcentral describes it as "partial small subunit ribosomal RNA". The stretch from base 263 to 808 matches the Rfam family "Bacterial small subunit ribosomal RNA", at positions 875 to 1485 of the family's 1533-position model. The record is from RNAcentral. Lineage: Eukaryota; Ciliophora; Phyllopharyngea; Dysteriida; Hartmannulidae.
UACAUAAGCCGUAAGGGUUGUUAAUAUUUGAUCGGGGUAAAUUAUACUUAUUUUUUUUAAAAACUGUUGAAUAAGUUUUUAAUUAUAGGGAUAAAAUACUUUGAUAAUUAAAGGCUUUUUUUUUUAAAGGUAAUUUAAAGGUUUUUUUUUUUAAGAUUUGUUUUAAAGUAUAAAAAUAAAAAAGGGUUAGGUUCCCUUGUUUUUUUUACCCCAAAUAAAUAAGUUUUUUUUUUUUGGAAUAUUUAACAUAAUACUUAAACCGGGGGAAAAAAGGCUCAAGCCUUAAACUAAAAAAAAUUGGCGGGACUAUAUAUGUUGGUGUGAACAUGUGGUUUAAUGCGGUAAUCCUCGCAACACCUCACUAAUAUAAAUAAAUACUCUGGGUAUUGAUAAUUACCCAAUAUAGUUUUUUUAGUAUUGCAUGGCUGCCGUCAGUUUAUUUCGUGAUAAUCAGCAUUUAUUUGCAAUAUAAACGCACACUUAUUUUUAAAUAAGUAGACGACAAGUCUGUAUGGUCUACAUAUAUUAGGCUACACACGUGUUACUUUUAAUUAUAUCAGAUAUGACAGUAAAAGUAAUUUUACUGUAAUAAACUUUUUUUUUAAUUUAGGUUUUAAAUUCAGCCUUAUGAAAUAGAAAUAACCAGUAAUCGUAGUUUAGGAUGCUACGUAGUAUCGCAAGUUUUUAUGAGUUUGCACACACUGCCCAUCACGCUCAGAAAAUUUUUUAUCUUUAAUGCUAAAUAUUUUUAUAUUAUAUAUAUAUGUAAUUAGUAUAGUACGAUUGGUAUGAAGUAAUUCGAGUGAAG